AGGUACUGUCCCUGAUCUGGAGGACUUGCAGUCUGGCAGCAGCAUCAGUGUUUGCAGUACAUGUAUGAUGUCUGAAUAUUUCUGGAAGCUAAGAAGAGAAGAGAGGGAAUUAGAAAGGGAGAAAAAUGGCAUUGCAGACUCCGACGAUCACUAUGAUCCUUAUUACUACUAUCUUAGUGUCCUCGACGAUGCCCAUCUUGAAGAGCAUGGCAGGGUGCUUGGCAAGAGCAUGCGGAGGUAU
This 241-nucleotide long non-coding RNA is filed under the name Brachypodium distachyon (stiff brome). Its description in RNAcentral is "long non-coding RNA (BDIS_LNC001479)". The record is from RNAcentral. Lineage: Eukaryota; Viridiplantae; Streptophyta; Magnoliopsida; Poales; Poaceae.